CCUACGGGGGGCAGCAGUGAGGAAUAUUGGUCAAUGGACGAGAGUCUGAACCAGCCAAGUAGCGUGAAGGAUGACUGCCCUAUGGGUUGUAAACUUCUUUUAUAUGGGAAUAAAAUGUUCCACGUGUGGGAUUUUGUAUGUACCAUAUGAAUAAGGAUCGGCUAACUCCGUGCCAGCAGCCGCGGUAAUACGGAGGAUCCGAGCGUUAUCCGGAUUUAUUGGGUUUAAAGGGAGCGUAGGGGGAUUGUUAAGUCAGUUGUGAAAGUUUGCGGCUCAACCGUAAAAUUGCAGUUGAAACUGGCAGUCUUGAGUACAGUAGAGGUGGGCGGAAUUCGUGGUGUAGCGGUGAAAUGCUUAGAUAUCACGAAGAACUCCGAUUGCGAUGGCAGUUCACUGGACUGCAACUGACACUGAGGCUCGAAAGUGUGGGUAUCAAACAGGAUUAGAUACCCUUGUAGUC
This 460-nucleotide ribosomal RNA is filed under the name uncultured bacterium. RNAcentral's name for it is "partial 16S ribosomal RNA". It matches the Rfam family "Bacterial small subunit ribosomal RNA", at positions 338 to 795 of the family's 1533-position model. The record is from RNAcentral.